This is a long non-coding RNA of Pyrus x bretschneideri (Chinese white pear), 1189 nucleotides long. RefSeq lists it as uncharacterized. The transcript has 2 exons. The record is from RefSeq and is a predicted model, not a curated record. Lineage: Eukaryota; Viridiplantae; Streptophyta; Magnoliopsida; Rosales; Rosaceae.
AAAGAGAGAGGGAGAGGUUAGGAUGUUAGUGCCCCAAUGUUUGAUUCGGUGACUGGGAGGGUGACAGUGAGAGAGAGAGAGAGAAUGGGUCGUGAUGAUUUCGGGGAGAGAAACAGAGAGGGAAGGGUGGGGAUGGUGAACAGGCCCCGAGCAUGGUCCUCCUGAGUCCAGGAUUCUGAUAAAAAAUCAAUGUUUUAUUAUUUCUUGCAUUUAUAUCUGCUGGCAUGUGGUGAUUGAGAGGCCAAAAUUAUUUUACAAAUCUUUUUGUACUGUUUGGUUAGGUUAGGCAGCAUGGUCUUGUGUGUUUUUUUAAUCGAUUUGGGGAUUUUCUAGCCUUGUAUUUAUUUGUUUGCUCUCUGUUCUUCAAAUUAUCAAACACUCUCCCUUUGUUUCUCAGGAAAAUGCUUCAAUUUUCUGGAGGAUAGUUUGAUAUAGCAGUGGUCAUGGGAGACUUCGUUUCGUUUAUUAGAUUAGCCAAUCUCCCUGAAGAGGUGAAGAAGGAACUUGAAGAUCCUCAUAGUGGGUAAGGCAAUUUAGUCCUGUCCUUAUGUUCUGAUUUCUCUUAAGCCACCAGAAAGCAUCAAUUUGGCCGCUAGCCGCAUGGAUGUAUUCCCUAUCUUCUUCUUACCCGCCAUGUAUUAGGUACAGUUUUGGAUGGAGCAUCAAUGUCAUAUGGCUCAGACCAAUAAUUAUUUGGCCAAACUGUUGUAUUUGUCGGUUUCUUUAUGCUGGGAUAUAUUUAGCAGCAUUAACCUAUUUGAAAACUUAGAUUUGCACAAACACAACAUAAUCUUUGCGAAAGCAUGUAUUUGACUGGCAUAUUAUUUCAUAUAUAUUAACAGAUAAGCAAUGCUCUAGCGGGUGCCGACAUAAAAGACUUGAUGAGGAAGCUAUCAAAAUUUAUUUAUGAUGAAGAGAAAGCUCUUGAGAUGAGGUUUUUUUGUUCCCUGUUUCAUCUUUGUUUUAAGCAAUGAGAAGGGUCAAGUUUAUGAUAGUUUCUAGAUAUGUAGAUUGGGAAAUUAAUCAUUAAACUAAGAUUUUACACGCACUUCCAAGGCCAUUGUGUGUGGGUUGUACUUUAUCUUUAGUCUGCUGUUUGUUCAAUCCCGUAUAUUUGGAGCAGAUAUUUGUAUCCUGAGCCUUACCCAGAGGAGAAUUUGGAGUUAAUUCGUUCUCGGAAUAUUCGGUU